RNAcentral lists this ribosomal RNA (467 nucleotides) under uncultured bacterium. RNAcentral describes it as "bacterial SSU rRNA". It matches the Rfam family "Bacterial small subunit ribosomal RNA", at positions 28 to 507 of the family's 1533-position model. The record is from RNAcentral.
GACGAACGCUGGCGGCGUGCUUAAAACAUGCAAGUCGAACGGACUUCUCAUGAAGCUUGCGAUUGAGAAGUUAGUGGCGGACGGGUGAGUAACGCGUGGGCAACCUGCCCCUGAGCCCGGGAUAACAGUUCGAAAGGACUGCUAAGACCGGAUAUACUUGCGGUGAAGCAUUUCACUGCAAGGAAAGGGAACGCUCAGGGAUGGGCCCGCGUCCCAUUAGCUAGUUGGUGAGGUAACGGCCCACCAAGGCGACGAUGGGUAGCCGGCCUGAGAGGGUGAACGGCCACACUGGGACUGAGACACGGCCCAGACUCCUACGGGAGGCAGCAGUUGGGAAUCUUCGGCAAUGGGCGCAAGCCUGACCCGAGCAACGCCGCGUGAGUGAUGAAGGUUUUCGGAUUGUAAAGCUCUGUCUUCCGGGACGAUAAUGACGGUACCGGAGGACGGAAGCCACGGCUAACUACGUG